This 473-nucleotide ribosomal RNA is filed under the name uncultured organism. Its description in RNAcentral is "partial 16S ribosomal RNA". It matches the Rfam family "Bacterial small subunit ribosomal RNA", at positions 333 to 797 of the family's 1533-position model. The record is from RNAcentral.
ACACUCCUACGGGAGGCAGCAGUGGGGAAUUUUGGACAAUGGGCGAAAGCCUGAUCCAGCAAUGCCGCGUGUGUGAAGAAGGCCUUCGGGUUGUAAAGCACUUUUGUCCGGAAAGAAAUCCUUGGCUCUAAUACAGUCGGGGGAUGACGGCACCGGAAGAAUAAGCACCGGCUAACUACGUGCCAGCAGCCGCGGUAAUACGUAGGGUGCGAGCGUUAAUCGGAAUUACUGGGCGUAAAGCGUGCGCAGGCGGUUUGCUAAGACCGAUGUGAAAUCCCCGGGCUCAACCUGGGAACUGCAUUGGUGACUGGCAGGCUAGAGUAUGGCAGAGGGGGGUAGAAUUCCACGUGUAGCAGUGAAAUGCGUAGAGAUGUGGAGGAAUACCGAUGGCGAAGGCAGCCCCCUGGGCCAAUACUGACGCUCAUGCACGAAAGCGUGGGGAGCAAACAGGAUUAGAAACCCUGGUAGUCCCA